Molecule: RNA transcript, 872 nt
Organism: Otolemur garnettii (small-eared galago)
Lineage: Eukaryota; Metazoa; Chordata; Mammalia; Primates; Galagidae
Gene name: 40S ribosomal protein S2 pseudogene
Exons: 1
Source: RefSeq, a predicted model, not a curated record
AUGGCGGGUGACGCUAGUGCAGCGGGAGGGCCUGGAGGCCCCAGGGACCCUGGAAUGGGAGGCUGUGGUGGUUUCCAUGGAGGCUUCAGCAGUGGCAUUCGAGGCUGGGGUCACAGAAGCAAGGCCGAGGACAAAGAGUGGAUGUCUGUCACCAACCUGGGCCGCCUGGUCAAGGACAUGAAGAUCAAAUCCCUGGAGAUCUAUCUUUUCUCCCUGCCCAUUAAGGAAUCUGAGAUCAUUGAUUUUUCUUGGGGCAUCUCUCAAGGAUGAGGUUUUGAAGAUUAUGCCAGUGCAAAAACAGACCCGUGCUAGCCAGAGGACCAUGUUCAAGGCGUUUGUUGCCAUUGGGCACUACAAUGGCCAUGCCAGUCUGGGUGUUAAGUGUUCCAAUUAAGUAGCCACUGCCAUCUGAGGGGCCAUCAUUCUGGCCAAGCUCUAUUGUCCCAGUGCAGAGAGGCUACUGGGGGAAUAAGAUCGGCAAGCCUCACACUGUUCCUUGCAAGGUGACAGGCCGCUGUGGCUCUCUGCUUGUACGUCUCAUCCCUGCUCCUAGAGGAACUGGCAUUGUCUCAGCACCUGUGCCUAAGAAGCUGCUAAUGAUGGCUGGGAUCGAUGACUGCUGCACUUCAGGCAGGGGCUACACUGCCACCCUGGGCAACUUUGCCAAGGCCACUUUUGAUGCCAUUUCCAAGACCUAUAGCUAUCUCCUGAUCUCUGGAAAGAGACAGUGUUCACCAAGUCUCCUUACCAAGAAUUCACUGACCAUCUUGUAAAGACCCACACCAGAGUCUCUGCAGAGGACCCAGGCUCCAGCUGUGGCUACAACAUAGGGUUUUUAUACAAGAAUAAAGUGAAUUAAGUCUGUUAAAAAA